GAUGAACGCUGGCGGCGUGCCUAAUACAUGCAAGUCGAGCGAACGGACGAGAAGCUUGCUUCUCUGAUGUUAGCGGCGGACGGGUGAGUAACACGUGGAUAACCUACCUCUAAGACUGGGAUAACUUCGGGAAACCGGAGCUAAUACCGGAUAAUAUUUUGAACCGCAUGGUUCAAAAGUGAAAGACGGUCUUGCUGUCACUUAUAGAUGGAUCCGCGCUGCAUUGGCUAGUUGGGAAGGUAACGGCUUACCAAGGCAACGAUGCAUAGCCGACCUGAGAGGGUGAUCGGCCAGACGGGAACUGAGACACGGUCCAGACUCCGACGGGAGGAAGCAGUAGGGAAUCUUCCGCAAUGGGCGAAAGCCGGACGGAGCAACGCCGCGUGAGUGAUGAAGGUCUUCGGAUCGUAAAACUCUGUUAUUAGGGAAGAACAUAUGUGUAAGUAACUGUGCACAUCUUGACGGUACCUAAUCAGAAAGCCACGGCUAACUACGUG
This 497-nucleotide ribosomal RNA is filed under the name uncultured bacterium. RNAcentral's name for it is "partial 16S ribosomal RNA". It matches the Rfam family "Bacterial small subunit ribosomal RNA", at positions 28 to 507 of the family's 1533-position model. The record is from RNAcentral.